This is a long non-coding RNA of Oreochromis aureus, 1252 nucleotides long. The record is from Ensembl. Lineage: Eukaryota; Metazoa; Chordata; Actinopteri; Cichliformes; Cichlidae.
GUUUGAUCCAGGAGCUGAAGCUGUAUCACGCCUGCUUUCGUGCAUAUUUCAGGAUGUCAGUGGGGCAGUUUGACCUUUUAUUGGCAGAGCUGGGACCACAUCUGAGGAGGCAGAGAAAUCAUUUCAGAUUGACCCGGAGCAGCAUCUAGCUACGUGUCUGAGUUGAAGUCCUGACUACACAUGAAGGAGAGGGAAGAGAGAAGCAGAGCUGGUGAUACAGUAAUUCUCACCUGCCAUUGGAGGAAGAGCACAGAUGUCCCACCAAAAUAAGCCAAGCCCUGACCCGUGACCAACCACUCUACUAGCCAAAAACAUGGCCUGAUAAUGACCAGCCAGCCAAUGAGAAAGUUGCACUGGGGUCAGGUCCUUAACCUCUCCCCCGAAACAGCAGCAGCAUCUUCAUUGUGUUAAACACAGAUAAUUUUUUUUCCUCUCAAAUAUGUAUAUACUCAUCACACCUGGUUACAACGCAUUAGUGAUCAUAACAUCAUAACAAAAAUAUCAAACGAAGAAAAGAAACAAAACAUUAAAGUUGUUACAUCUGGGGUUGCAUGCCAUCACCUCAUAAGUUAUCAUUAAAUGUAAUUAAAAUACAUUUUUGCCAUUAAAAAAUAGCAGGGUUGUCAUCACAAGGGUGUGUCUGAGAGUGUGUGUGUGUGUGUUUGUGUGUGUUUCUUUGUGUAUGUUUGAACAGAAAACAUCAUCAGUUUACAUGACAGUUCUGUAAAAGUAGAACAAACGAACAAAUUGCGAUGAGUUCAUAAAACGCAAGGGUGCCAUUUGAUAUUUUUCCUUUUUUUUACAUGUGCAUAUUGUUCACUUGUCAGCUCACACAAGCAGCAUGUGGAGAUAAAUAUGAUAGUAAUAAAUAUGUAGAUAAGAUGCAAAAAAAAAAAAAAAAGAGAGAGAGAAAAGGACAAAUCUUGCUCUUCAGUCAACACUGGGUAAGCUGAUUGGGAAGCUAGGGGGAGAUUCACUGCGGUAUUCCAAGAGUACAAAAAGGGCGAUAUGACAGUGGUUAAAAAUGGAGCUUCAAUCGAAACACAGUGGCUAAUGCAGUCAACUGCCAUUCGAAGUCAUGGAGAGGAGGAACUAUAAGGGUAGCGUUUCAGAUUUUGGAUGUUUAAGAAACAUCCUUCGUUCUGUGAAGGGUGCUCAGCUUAGUGUGAAGUGGAGCUGCAUACAGCACAUCCCACACACUGGGAAAACAAUCUAAGCCCCCCUCUCACCCCAACCCUACCGCUGUCCCUUC